RNAcentral lists this transfer RNA (72 nucleotides) under Camelus bactrianus (Bactrian camel). It matches the Rfam family "tRNA". Rfam says of the family: Transfer RNA (tRNA) molecules are approximately 80 nucleotides in length. Their secondary structure includes four short double-helical elements and three loops (D, anti-codon, and T loops). The record is from Rfam by way of RNAcentral. Lineage: Eukaryota; Metazoa; Chordata; Mammalia; Artiodactyla; Camelidae. RNAcentral also lists the same sequence under 2 other names.
GGAGUUAUAGCUCAGUGGUAGGACCCAUGCUCAGCAGGCAUGAGGUCCUGGGUUCAAUCCCCAGUACUUCCA